UAGGGAAUCUUCCGCAAUGGGCGAAAGCCUGACGGAGCAACGCCGCGUGAGUGAUGAAGGUCUUCGGAUCGUAAAACUCUGUUAUUAGGGAAGAGCAAAUGUGUAAGUAACUAUGCACGUCUUGACGGUACCUAAUCAGAAAGCCACGGCUAACUACGUGCCAGCAGCCGCGGUAAUACGUAGGUGGCAAGCGUUAUCCGGAAUUAUUGGGCGUAAAGCGCGCGUAGGCGGUUUUUUAAGUCUGAUGUGAAAGCCCACGGCUCAACCGUGGAGGGUCAUUGGAAACUGGUAAACUUGAGUGCAGAAGAGGAAAGUGGAAUUCCAUGUGUAGCGGUGAAAUGCGCAGAGAUAUGGAGGAACACCAGUGGGGAAGGCGACUUUGUGGUCUGUAACUGACGCUAAUGUGCGAAAGCGUGGGGAUCAAACAGG
This 429-nucleotide ribosomal RNA is filed under the name Actinomycetes bacterium. RNAcentral describes it as "Actinobacteria bacterium partial 16S ribosomal RNA". It matches the Rfam family "Bacterial small subunit ribosomal RNA", at positions 355 to 776 of the family's 1533-position model. Lineage: Bacteria; Bacillati; Actinomycetota; Actinomycetes. The record is from RNAcentral.